This 447-nucleotide ribosomal RNA is filed under the name uncultured bacterium. Its description in RNAcentral is "SSU rRNA". It matches the Rfam family "Bacterial small subunit ribosomal RNA", at positions 26 to 518 of the family's 1533-position model. The record is from RNAcentral.
AGAGCGAACGCUGGCGGCAGGCCUAACACAUGCAAGUCGAGCGCGUGUAGCAAUACACGAGCGGCAGACGGGAGAGUAACACGUGGGAACGCGCCCUUCGGUUCGGAAUAACUCAGGGAAACUUGAGCUAAUACCGGAUACGCCCUUACGGGGAAAGAUUUAUUGCCGAAGGAACGGCCCGCGUCCGAUUAGCUAGUUGGUGAGGUAACGGCUCACCAAGGCGACGAUCGGUAGCUGGUCUGAGAGGAUGACCAGCCUCACUGGGACUGAGACACGGCCCAGACUCCUACGGGAGGCAGCAGUGGGGAAUAUUGGACAAUGGGGGCAACCCUGAUCCAGCAAUGCCGCGUGGAUGAUGAAGGCCUUCGGGUUGUAAAGUCCGUUUCGGCGGGGAAGAUGAUGACGGUACCCGCAGAAGACGCCCGGCUAACUCGUGCCAGCAGCCGC